GCCGCGAGCUGUGAUCUGAAGGAAGCCCGCGCAAAAAUCCAACCUUUGAGAAGCACGAACUCAGGGCGGGGCCGUUGUACGGAGGCGAGUCUCCAAGACAAGACAAAGCCCCAUACAGCCUAGGAAUACAGCAGUAAAUGGGGCGGGG
This 148-nucleotide non-coding RNA is filed under the name uncultured Paenibacillus sp. Lineage: Bacteria; Bacillati; Bacillota; Bacilli; Caryophanales; Paenibacillaceae. The record is from RNAcentral.